GCAGGGAAGAGCAGUGGCAGUUCGCUUGGUUCAUAACCAAGCGAACUCGAUUCAACUCUGCUCUCUGCUACCA
RNAcentral lists this transfer RNA (73 nucleotides) under Dehalococcoides mccartyi. Its description in RNAcentral is "tRNA-Met". Lineage: Bacteria; Bacillati; Chloroflexota; Dehalococcoidia; Dehalococcoidales; Dehalococcoidaceae. The record is from RNAcentral.